Molecule: long non-coding RNA, 637 nt
Filed under: Cicer arietinum (chickpea)
Lineage: Eukaryota; Viridiplantae; Streptophyta; Magnoliopsida; Fabales; Fabaceae
Description: long non-coding RNA (CARI_LNC003568)
Source: RNAcentral
UUGUGUUAUGCUUGUUUCGCUUAAUUCCUCGGUUCUGUUGGUAUAUUCAAGUCCUUCAAAUCUUCAAUGAUAUUUUGGUUUAUAAUUACAUAUAUAUGUUAUUUAUCACAGGAUUCUGAUUUGAUGUCUUGUAAUUUAUAACUUUGAUGGCACAGAAAUUUGAAAUAGUCAUUGAGGAUCAAGCUGGAAAACAGUUCAAAUGUAGGAUCAAUUGAGGAAGCCGAAAUGACAAAUCAAUGGAUUGAUUUAUUUAGGGAUUUGAUAUAUGAAUACUUGAUUUGCUCGGCAUUGUAAAGACAUCCACAACUUUCUCUUUUUGUUAUGAGCAUUUUAAGAUUCCCUUCAUUAAGUGGCUACAAACCUUUUUGUGAAUCCCCAAAACAAAAGUAAAAAAUGACAUUCAUCCGGAAAUAUAAAUUUCUUUAUUUCUUUUUUUUUAAUUGAAAUUAUUUUAGUAUAAUUUCAUGAAAAACUUGAAUCUAAAAUAGAUUUUCUUUCUGCAGUACGGGUACCUGGUCGCAUGUGCAAGAGCGAAGUGAUCGUUAUAUUUUUUUUAGCUUUCCUACUUUUAUGGUUGCAUGUGCAAAAGUGAAGUGGUCAUUAUAUUUUUUUAGCUUUCUUACUUUCAUUUCUACGG